GACAGAGGCCCCAAGCGUUAGGCGGAAUCACUGGGCUUAAAGCGUGUGUAGGCGGACGCCUAAGUGUCUUGUGAAAUCCCACGGCUCACCCGUGGAACUGCUGGGCAUACUGGGCGUCUUGGGCCAACUAGGGGCAGCCGGAACAAGCGGUGGAGCGGUGAAAUGCGUAGAUAUCGCUUGGAACGCCGAAGGUGAAAACAGGCUGCUGGGGUUG
RNAcentral lists this ribosomal RNA (214 nucleotides) under uncultured bacterium. Its description in RNAcentral is "partial 16S ribosomal RNA". It matches the Rfam family "Bacterial small subunit ribosomal RNA", at positions 524 to 737 of the family's 1533-position model. The record is from RNAcentral.